UAAUACGUAGGGGGCAAGCGUUGUCCGGAUUUACUGGGCGUAAAGCGCGCGUAGGCGGAACGGCGUGUCCGGUCUGAAAGCCCCCGGCUCAACCGGGGAAGGUGGCUGGAAACUGCCGCUUCUGGAGGGCGACAGAGGAGUGCGGAAUUCCUGGUGUAGCGGUGAAAUGCGUAGAUAUCAGGAGGAACACCCGUGGCGAAGGCGGCACUCUGGGUCGGCCCUGACGCUGAGGUGCGAAAGCGUGGGGAGCGAACGGGAUUAGAUACCCCGGUAGUCCACGCCGUAAACGAUGGUCACUAGGUGUGUGCGGUAUCGACCCCGCACGUGCCGGCGCUAACGCAUUAAGUGACCCGCCUGGGGAGUACGGCCGCAAGGUUG
Molecule: ribosomal RNA, 378 nt
Filed under: uncultured bacterium
Lineage: Bacteria
Description: bacterial SSU rRNA
Rfam family: Bacterial small subunit ribosomal RNA
Source: RNAcentral